Molecule: long non-coding RNA, 210 nt
Filed under: Capsella rubella
Lineage: Eukaryota; Viridiplantae; Streptophyta; Magnoliopsida; Brassicales; Brassicaceae
Description: long non-coding RNA (CRUB_LNC003857)
Source: RNAcentral
AGCAGAAAAGCUUUUUUCAUCAGCAGAAGAUAACACAAAAAGAUUUUCUGCUGAUGAAAAAAGCUUUUUAUUUAAAAAGACAGGUGUUAUCUUUUGAUGGUUUUAACUUAUUUUUUUUUAUUAAAGAUUUUUUUAUUUAAGCAUCACUUCUUUCAAGUUUAAAGCUUAUUCCAAAAAUCUUUUUGUGUUAUCUUCUACUGAUGAAAAAAG